UACGUAGGCAGCAAGCGUUGUUCGGAAUUACUGGGCGUAAAGAGUGUGUAGGCGGUGUUCUAAGUUUGUCGUGAAAUCUCCCGGCUUAACUGGGAGGGUGCGGCGAAAACUGGAAUGCUAGAGGAUGGGAGAGGUAAGCGGAAUUCCUGGUGUAGCGGUGAAAUGCGUAGAUAUCAGGAGGAACACCUGUGGUGUAGACAGCUUGCUGGACCAUUUCUGACGCUGAGACACGAAAGCGUGGGUAGCAAACAGG
Molecule: ribosomal RNA, 253 nt
Filed under: uncultured bacterium
Lineage: Bacteria
Description: partial 16S ribosomal RNA
Rfam family: Bacterial small subunit ribosomal RNA
Source: RNAcentral